UACGUAGGGGGCUAGCGUUGUCCGGAAUCAUUGGGCGUAAAGAGCUCGUAGGCGGUUUGGCAAGUCGGGUGUGAAAACUCCGGGCUCAACUCGGAGACGCCACUCGAUACUGCUAUGACUCGAGUCCGGUAGGGGAGUGCGGAAUUCCUGGUGUAGCGGUGAAAUGCGCAGAUAUCAGGAGGAACACCGGUGGCGAAGGCGGCACUCUGGGCCGGUACUGACGCUGAGGAGCGAAAGCGUGGGGAGCGAACAGG
This 254-nucleotide ribosomal RNA is filed under the name uncultured bacterium. RNAcentral's name for it is "partial 16S ribosomal RNA". It matches the Rfam family "Bacterial small subunit ribosomal RNA", at positions 524 to 776 of the family's 1533-position model. The record is from RNAcentral.